GGGGUUUAGUCUAAAUAAGACGAUUGAUUUCGGCUCAAUAAAUUCUGAACGCUCAGAAACACCU
RNAcentral lists this transfer RNA (64 nucleotides) under Mordacia mordax (southern lamprey). Its description in RNAcentral is "tRNA-Arg". RNAcentral also lists the same sequence under 1 other name. Lineage: Eukaryota; Metazoa; Chordata; Hyperoartia; Petromyzontiformes; Petromyzontidae. The record is from RNAcentral.